GCACUUUGUAAAUCACGUGUGAUUUGCAAGUUACGCCUCUUUUGGGGAGAAAUUAAAUAUGCAUAUCAAUACUGCUACUGUUUACAUAGUUGUUGCCAUGGAUGCAAACUAUUUUUUUUUUAAUUAAGACUUGAUUGGAGAUUUAAAUGGAUAUAAAUAAAAAUGUCUAUUUAUUUAACUUAUUUUUCAGGAGGACUGGAAGACAUUUGGGUGUUGAGUCAAAUUUAAUGGAAAAAUUCAGUGCGAUCCUGCAAUGUUUACACAUGGAGGCCAGUAAAACUUGAAAAUAUGCCGCACAGCUAUAUGUUUUUAUUGGUGCAAAAAAAAGUAGUGCAUGUCUCCUUUCCAGGGAAAUAUAACAUUCUCCUCAAAACUUCCUGAAUGAAGUGUGACUGCAUAUGCAUUUUAUGCAGUUCCUAUGGAAAAUUGCAUUGCUGGAUUUACACAAGUGCAACCUAUAAGACCUCGUGCAGCACGACUUCCCGGUUCAAUGGGAACCCCAGCCGCUUUACAGAGUUUAACGAUGGAUUCUCCAGGGCCAUUAUUUACAUUGUGUAUAGCUAAACAACAUUAGCACUGUGUUGCAUACUUGAAGUGGAAGGAGCUGGUAUAUUAGAACCAAGAAAUAAUUUCUGUAGACCAGUUGUGCUGAUAGCUAUGUGAUUAAGUGCGACUUGUAUGGAUAGAUUAAUAGCUGCUGUUCGACGACCACGUUUCUUAGCGACCACCUCAUUGUAAAGGUUGAACAUUUUUGAAUGGAGGACUGGAAGACAUUUGGGUGUUGAGUCAAAUUUAAUGGAAAAAUUCAGUGCGAUCCUGCAAUGUUUACACAUGGAGGCCAGUAAAACUUGAAAAUAUGCCGCACAGCUAUAUGUUUUUAUUGGUGCAAAAAAAAGUAGUGCAUGUCUCCUUUCCAGGGAAAUAUAACAUUCUCCUCAAAACUUCCUGAAUGAAGUGUGACUGCAUAUGCAUUUUAUGCAGUUCCUAUGGAAAAUUGCAUUGCUGGAUUUACACAAGUGCAACCUGUAAUCACUUUUUUUUUGUUUUUUUACCUUUUUCCAAAGUUUUAAAGAUUUUUUUUUUUACAUUUUAAUUUUAGCACCCCUUUAUUCUGUAUUCUUUAUUUUUUGUCCACCUUCUCUUUUUUGGGGGGUAGGGGCAUUAUUCUCUAUUCUGUAAACUUCAUCCACAACCUCUUAUAUCU
This is a long non-coding RNA of Mytilus californianus (California mussel), 1204 nucleotides long. RefSeq lists it as uncharacterized. The transcript has 4 exons. Lineage: Eukaryota; Metazoa; Mollusca; Bivalvia; Mytilida; Mytilidae. The record is from RefSeq and is a predicted model, not a curated record.